AUUGAUUCACUACAUCGGCAGAACAUGAGGAGCUCAGCAUAAUUUCCUCAUGGCAUUGAGUCCUGCAUCACGCAUAAUUACACACAUUUUCAGCACAUAGCCUGUGAUCUCAGGAGGAGAAAAUAACUCUUUAAAAAACAAGUCUCUACAGUCUCGCUCACCUAGGACCCAACCCUGCAAUCCCAUUGGUGUCAAUGGCACUACUCAUGUAGACGUGCAAUGCAUUACAAUUCAAAGGCUUCAUCCUGCCCACAGUUACACAGAGGAGUAAAACUACUCAUGGGUAUAAAUUUCUAGUGGCCUCUGGAGUCACCCAUUUGCUGAAAAAUUCUUCAGCUCCUGCUGCUGGGCAUGCAUGAAGUACUGCUGUUGUCUCUCCAGCAACGAGAAAAGCCCUG
Mauremys reevesii (Reeves's turtle) is the source of this 398-nucleotide long non-coding RNA. RefSeq lists it as uncharacterized. The record is from RefSeq and is a predicted model, not a curated record. Lineage: Eukaryota; Metazoa; Chordata; Testudines; Geoemydidae. The transcript has 3 exons.